This 750-nucleotide ribosomal RNA is filed under the name uncultured archaeon. RNAcentral's name for it is "bacterial SSU rRNA". It matches the Rfam family "Archaeal small subunit ribosomal RNA", at positions 156 to 910 of the family's 1478-position model. The record is from RNAcentral.
GAUCUCGACUGCUGGAAUGCAUCGAGAUCUAAAGCUCCGGCGCCUAAGGAUGGGUCUGCGGCCUAUCAGGUAGUAGUGGGUGUAGCGUACCUACUAGCCUACGACGGGUACGGGUUGUGAGAGCAAGAGCCCGGAGAUGGAUUCUGAGACACGAAUCCAGGCCCUACGGGGUGCAGCAGGCGCGAAAACUUUACAAUGCUGGAAACAGCGAUAAGGGGACCUCGAGUGCCAGGUUACAAAUCUGGCUGUCGUGAUGCCUAAAAAGCAUUGCAUAGCAAGGGCCGGGCAAGACCGGUGCCAGCCGCCGCGGUAACACCGGCGGCUCGAGUGGUAACCGUUAUUAUUGGGUCUAAAGGGUCUGUAGCCGGCCGGAUAAGUCUCUUGGGAAAUCCAGCAGCUCAACUGUUGGGCUUUCAGGAGAUACUGUCUGGCUCGAGGCCGGGAGAGGUGAGAGGUACUUCAGGGGUAGGGGUGAAAUCUUGUAAUCCUUGAAGGACCACCAGUGGCGAAGGCGUCUCACCAGAACGGACCUGACGGCAAGGGACGAAAGCUGGGGGAGCGAACCGGAUUAGAUACCCGGGUAGUCCCAGCUGUAAACGAUGCAGGCUAGGUGUUUGGACGGCCACGUGCCGUUCUAGUGCCGCAGGGAAGCUGUUAAGCCUGCCGCCUGGGGAGUACGAUCGCAAGAUUGAAACUUAAAGGAAUUGGCGGGGGAGCACCACAAGGGGUGAAGCCUGCGGUUUAAUUGGA